CCUGCCCCUAGAGGGAUUGCAGGUGUGCUGCUAUGUCACAUUUGCAUCAGUAGGUGGCAGAGAGGAGAGAGAUUGUGUCUACAUUCUGUUUUGACCUGUAAACACCUGAAUAAUUAGCAACGUGAAAAA
Molecule: small nucleolar RNA, 129 nt
Organism: Apodemus sylvaticus (European woodmouse)
Lineage: Eukaryota; Metazoa; Chordata; Mammalia; Rodentia; Muridae
Product: small nucleolar RNA SNORA17
Exons: 1
Source: RefSeq, a predicted model, not a curated record